UAGAGUUUGAUCCUGGCUCAGGAUGAACGCUAGCGGCAGGCUUAACACAUGCAAGUCGAGGGGCAGCACGGGUAGCAAUACUUGGUGGCGACCGGCGCAAGGGUGCGUAACGCGUGAGCAACAUGCCCGUAUCAGGGGGAUAAUCCAUGGAAACGUGGUCUAAUACCCCAUAGUAAAUUUUUGGGGCAUCUCAAAGAUUUUAAAGCUUUGGUGGAUACGGAUUGGCUCGCGUGACAUUAGCUAGAUGGUAAGGUAACGGCUUACCAUGGCUACGAUGUCUAGGGGUUCUGAGAGGAAGGUCCCCCACACUGGAACUGAGACACGGUCCAGACUCCUACGGGAGGCAGCAGUGAGGAAUAUUGGACAAUGGAUGGAAAUCUGAUCCAGCCAUGCCGCGUGCAGGAAGACGGCCCUAUGGGUUGUAAACUGCUUUUGUAUGGGAGUAAUAAGGUCUAUGCGUAGACUGAUGAGAGUACCAUACGAAUAAGCAUCGGCUAACUCCGUGCCAGCAGCCGCGGUAA
This 521-nucleotide ribosomal RNA is filed under the name uncultured bacterium. Its description in RNAcentral is "bacterial SSU rRNA". It matches the Rfam family "Bacterial small subunit ribosomal RNA", at positions 1 to 523 of the family's 1533-position model. The record is from RNAcentral.